GGUAAAAUGACUGAGUAAGCGUUAGACUGUAAAUCAAAAGAUGGAGGUCAAGGCCUCUUUUUACCA
Transfer RNA from Gorilla gorilla gorilla (western lowland gorilla), 66 nucleotides. It matches the Rfam family "tRNA". Rfam says of the family: Transfer RNA (tRNA) molecules are approximately 80 nucleotides in length. Their secondary structure includes four short double-helical elements and three loops (D, anti-codon, and T loops). The record is from Rfam. Lineage: Eukaryota; Metazoa; Chordata; Mammalia; Primates; Hominidae.